CCUGCGGAAGGUCAUUACCGAGUGAGGGCCCUCUGGGUCCAACCUCCCACCCGUGUUUAUUUUACCUUGUUGCUUCGGCGGGCCCGCCUUAACUGGCCGCCGGGGGGCUCACGCCCCCGGGCCCGCGCCCGCCGAAGACACCCUCGAACUCUGUCUGAAGAUUGAAGUCUGAGUGAAAAUAUAAAUUAUUUAAAACUUUCAACAACGGAUCUCUUGGUUCCGGCAUCGAUGAAGAACGCAGCGAAAUGCGAUACGUAAUGUGAAUUGCAAAUUCAGUGAAUCAUCGAGUCUUUGAACGCACAUUGCGCCCCCUGGUAUUCCGGGGGGCAUGCCUGUCCGAGCGUCAUUGCUGCCCUCAAGCCCGGCUUGUGUGUUGGGCCCCGUCCUCCGAUCUCCGGGGGACGGGCCCGAAAGGCAGCGGCGGCACCGCGUCCGGUCCUCGAGCGUAUGGGGCUUUGUCACCCGCUCUGUAGGCCCGGCCGGCGCUUGCCGAUCAACCCAAAUUUUUAUCCAGGUUGACCUCGGAUCAGGUAGGGAUACCCGCUGAACUUAAGCAUAUCAAUAAGCGGAGGAAAAGAAACCAACAGGGAUUGCCCCAGUAACGGCGAGUGAAGCGGCAAGAGCUCAAAUUUGAAAGCUGGCUCCUUCGGGGUCCGCAUUGUAAUUUGCAGAGGAUGCUUCGGGAGCGGUCCCCAUCUAAGUGCCCUGGAACGGGACGUCAUAGAGGGUGAGAAUCCCGUAUGGGGAUGGGGUGUCCGCGCCCGUGUGAA
This 770-nucleotide ribosomal RNA is filed under the name fungal endophyte. RNAcentral describes it as "eukaryotic LSU rRNA". The stretch from base 517 to 770 matches the Rfam family "Eukaryotic large subunit ribosomal RNA", at positions 1 to 250 of the family's 3401-position model. The record is from RNAcentral. Lineage: Eukaryota; Fungi.